GAUGAAGAACGUAGCGAAAUGCGAUAAGUAAUGUGAAUUGCAGAAUUCAGUGAAUCAUCGAAUCUUUGAACGCACAUUGCGCCCUUUGGUAUUCCGAAGGGCAUGCCUGUUCGAGCGUCAUUACAACCCUCAAGCUCUGCUUGGUAUUGGGCACCGUCCUUUGCGGGCGCGCCUCAAAGACCUCGGCGGUGGCGUCUUGCCUCAAGCGUAGUAGAACAUACAUCUCGCUUCGGAGCGCAGGGCGUCGCCCGCCGGACGAACCUUCUGAACUUUUCUCAAGGUUAACCUCGGAUCAGGUAGGGAUACCCGCUGAACUUAAGCAUAUCAAUAAGCGGAGGA
This 339-nucleotide unclassified non-coding RNA is filed under the name soil metagenome. RNAcentral describes it as "partial contains 5.8S ribosomal RNA, internal transcribed spacer 2, and large subunit ribosomal RNA". The stretch from base 1 to 120 matches the Rfam family "5.8S ribosomal RNA", at positions 35 to 154 of the family's 154-position model. The record is from RNAcentral.